Molecule: ribosomal RNA, 930 nt
Filed under: uncultured bacterium
Lineage: Bacteria
Description: bacterial SSU rRNA
Rfam family: Bacterial small subunit ribosomal RNA
Source: RNAcentral
CGUAGGAUCCAAGCGUUAUCCGGAUUUACUGGGCGUAAAGAGUUGCGUAGGUGGCAAGGUAAGUUAGUAGUGAAAGCGUGUGGCUCAACCAUACUCACAUUACUAAAACUGCCUAGCUUGAAGAUGAGAGAGGUCACUGGAAUUCCAAGUGUAGGAGUGAAAUCCGUAGAUAUUUGGAGGAACACCGAUGGCGUAGGCAGGUGACUGGCUCAUUCUUGACACUAAGGCACGAAAGCGUGGGGAGCAAACGGGAUUAGAUACCCCGGUAGUCCACGCCGUAAACGAUGGAUGCUAGCUGCUAGGAGUAUCGACCCUCCUAGUAGCGAAGCUAACGCGUUAAGCAUCCCGCCUGUGGAGUACGGUCGCAAGACUAAAACAUAAAGGAAUUGACGGGGACCGCACAAGCGGUGGAGCGUGUUGUUUAAUUCGAUGGUAAGCGAAGAACCUUACCCAGGCUUGACAUCCUGCUAAUCACUCCGAAAGGAGAGAGUGCCUUCGGGCCGCAGAGACAGGUGUUGCAUGGCCGUCGUCAGCUCGUGUCGUGAGAUGUUUGGUUAAGUCCAUCAACGAGCGCAACCCUUAUAGUUAGUUGUAUUUCUCUAGCUAGACUGCCNUGGUAACAGGGAGGAAGGGGGGGAUGAUGUCAGGUCAGUAUUACCCUUACGUCUGGGGCUACAAACACGCUACAAUGGCCGGUACAAAGGGCUGCCAACCCGCGAGGGGGAGCAAAUCCCAUCAAAGCCGGUCUCAGUUCGGAUUGCAGGCUGAAACUCGCCUGCAUGAAGCUGGAAUCGCUAGUAAUGGUAGGUCAGCACACUACCGUGAAUACGUUCCCGGGUCUUGUACACACCGCCCGUCAAACCAUGAAAGUCGCCAAUACCUGACGUGCCAUCUUUAGAUGGUCCUAAGGUAGGGGAGAUGAUUGGGGUU